GUAGUUUGCCUUUUGGUGCAGUCAUGUAAUCUUUUCAGCUUCUUCUAAAAGAAAGCAAAAACAAUAGUAUACCCCUGUUUUGUCAUCACAUUUUCACAUAGAAAACAGCUAGCAUUGGGGUUUAAGUUUAAAUUCCAGCCUUAUAAAUUCCCCAUGCUUGGGUUUCCUUGGCGUACUGAAGUUUUCCUCCCAGACUGUAUGUUUUGCUGGGGUAGGACAGAUGGAAUAUGUUGGUACUAUCUAAAUAAAGGAUAAUACAGUAGAAGCCCCAAUUCUAUUGGUCGGGGGGGUGUCAGGCAGGGGAGCAAGCAGAAGGGACAAGAAGUGGAGGCCAAGCCUGUAGGGUAGCAGGUUAGAUAAUACAACCUUGAGCACAGGGAUUAUAAGAAGUAUUUCUAAGAGCAAUUAAGGAGGUUAAGGAUAUGUGAAUGGCUAACAAUUACAGAGGUCAUUUGGUAUCAGGAACCAUUAUUUGACAUUGCAUUAUACACCUGUAGAAACAAAGCAAGGUUUAAUUAUAACUGUUGGUGCUGCUUUAAUUAAAAUCUUAAAAACCCCAUAAUUAUUUUUACUGAUCAUUUGUUUACUAUAUGUUUAGAGUAUAUAAAGAACUUUCUGUUUUGAGGGUGGGGUGGCAUACAGUAACUACAUUACACUGUUAUGUAAUGAAAUCAGAAUAUUACCAAAAUAAUGUAUAUAUAGGUAGAAUCUGAUUUUUAACAUUAUGGGAUGUUAAUGUGGCAGUUGUGCAUAGUCACAGUUACAGGGGAAGAGAAAAAAAGUAGGAUAAAAUGUGGGAGAGAUCCUCAGAGAUAAGGCAAAGAACAAUCUUUAAGAGGAAUUGGGAGAAAUUAGGGAAUAAGUAAGAAGUAGAAAAGGAAAGUGAGUGACAGCCCAGAAGAGGAGGAGCACUAAUGCAAUGCAGGAAAUUCCCUAAGCAAGUUAUGACUGCACGUUGUUUCACACAAGCACACGGCUCUGUAGCAUCAAGCAUUCGGUACUACUUCAAGUAGAUGCCAGAUUUUUUUUCACCAGAAGAUUAUCAUCCUACCCAAGCCUAGAUAUCUGUCUGUAUAAUAUGACAACAGAUGUGUUGGGAUAUACACCGGUGUCCGCUGUGAAGGAAUUUUACUGUCUAGUGAGAAAACUCAGCCCCAAAGUGAUUCAUU
Non-coding RNA from Xenopus tropicalis (tropical clawed frog), 1169 nucleotides. Lineage: Eukaryota; Metazoa; Chordata; Amphibia; Anura; Pipidae. The record is from RefSeq and is a predicted model, not a curated record.